GGUUCAAUGGUCUAGUGGUUAUGAUUUCUGUCUUACAGCCUCAGUUCCUCCACAGGAUCGAACUCGAAAUGCUGACUAAGCACAGACGGUCCCCAGUUCGACCCUGGGUUGAGCCA
Molecule: non-coding RNA, 116 nt
Organism: Paramarasmius palmivorus
Lineage: Eukaryota; Fungi; Basidiomycota; Agaricomycetes; Agaricales; Marasmiaceae
Source: the annotation of a GenBank genome assembly